AGAGAUAGCUACUGGAAACGGUAGGUAAACUCUGAUAAGCCCGAGAGGGGAAAGUGGAAGGCAGCCUUGGGAUGGACCUACUAUCCAUCAGGUAGUUGGUGAGGUAAAGGCUUACCAAGCCGAUGACGGAUAACCGGUGUGAGAGCAUGUACGGUCACAAGGGCACUGAGACACGGGCCCUACUCCUACGGGAGGCAGCAGUGGGGAAUAUUGGACAAUGGGCGAAAGCCUGACCCAGCGACGCCGCGUGAAGGAAGAAGUCCUUCGGGAUGUAAACUUCUGAACUAAUCGAAUAAAAGGGUAGUGGACACACUACAGAAGAAGGUAGAUUAGGAAAAGUCCCGGCUAACUACGUGCCAGCAGCCGCGGUAAGACGUAGGGGGCGAGCGUUGCCCGGAAUCACUGGGUGUAAAGGGGACGUAGGCGGAUGAUCAAGUCAUCUGUGAAAAGAUUGCUCAACGAUUGGCUUGCGGAUGAAACUGGUCAUCUUGGGCGUAGCAGAGGUAGACGGAAUUACCUGAGUAGGGGUGAAAUCCGCAGAUACAGGUAAGAAGGCCGGUGAAGAAGUUGGUCUACUGGGC
This 581-nucleotide ribosomal RNA is filed under the name uncultured Petrotoga sp. RNAcentral's name for it is "bacterial SSU rRNA". It matches the Rfam family "Bacterial small subunit ribosomal RNA", at positions 139 to 734 of the family's 1533-position model. The record is from RNAcentral. Lineage: Bacteria; Thermotogati; Thermotogota; Thermotogae; Petrotogales; Petrotogaceae.